This 811-nucleotide ribosomal RNA is filed under the name Nocardia otitidiscaviarum. Its description in RNAcentral is "bacterial SSU rRNA". It matches the Rfam family "Bacterial small subunit ribosomal RNA", at positions 90 to 914 of the family's 1533-position model. The record is from RNAcentral. Lineage: Bacteria; Bacillati; Actinomycetota; Actinomycetes; Mycobacteriales; Nocardiaceae.
CACGAGCGGCGAACGGGUGAGUAACACGUGGGUGAUCUGCCUCGCACUCUGGGAUAAGCCUGGGAAACUGGGUCUAAUACCGGAUAUGACCACGAAUCGCAUGGUUUGUGGUGGAAAGGUUUACUGGUGCGAGAUGGGCCCGCGGCCUAUCAGCUUGUUGGUGGGGUAACGGCCUACCAAGGCGACGACGGGUAGCCGGCCUGAGAGGGCGACCGGCCACACUGGGACUGAGACACGGCCCAGACUCCUACGGGAGGCAGCAGUGGGGAAUAUUGCACAAUGGGCGAAAGCCUGAUGCAGCGACGCCGCGUGAGGGAUGACGGCCUUCGGGUUGUAAACCUCUUUCGACAGGGACGAAGCGCAAGUGACGGUACCUGUAGAAGAAGCACCGGCCAACUACGUGCCAGCAGCCGCGGUAAUACGUAGGGUGCGAGCGUUGUCCGGAAUUACUGGGCGUAAAGAGCUUGUAGGCGGUCUGUCGCGUCGAUCGUGAAAACGUGCAGCUCAACUGCGCGCCUGCGGUCGAUACGGGCAGACUAGAGUACUUCAGGGGAGACUGGAAUUCCUGGUGUAGCGGUGAAAUGCGCAGAUAUCAGGAGGAACACCGGUGGCGAAGGCGGGUCUCUGGGAAGUAACUGACGCUGAGAAGCGAAAGCGUGGGUAGCGAACAGGAUUAGAUACCCUGGUAGUCCACGCCGUAAACGGUGGGUACUAGGUGUGGGUUUYCYUUCCACGGGAUCCGUGCCGUAGCUAACGCAUUAAGUACCCCGCCUGGGGAGUACGGCCGCAAGGCUAAACUCAAGGAAUUGAC